RNAcentral lists this transfer RNA (78 nucleotides) under Podarcis lilfordi (Lilford's wall lizard). Its description in RNAcentral is "tRNA.Lys". The stretch from base 10 to 70 matches the Rfam family "tRNA", at positions 6 to 65 of the family's 71-position model. From Rfam's summary of the family: Transfer RNA (tRNA) molecules are approximately 80 nucleotides in length. Their secondary structure includes four short double-helical elements and three loops (D, anti-codon, and T loops). Further hydrogen bonds mediate the characteristic L-shaped molecular structure. tRNAs have two regions of fundamental functional importance: the anti-codon, which is responsible for specific mRNA codon recognition, and the 3' end, to which the tRNAs corresponding amino acid is attached (by aminoacyl-tRNA synthetases). tRNAs cope with the degeneracy of the genetic code in two manners: having more than one tRNA (with a specific anti-codon) for a particular amino acid; and 'wobble' base-pairing, i.e. permitting non-standard base-pairing at the 3rd anti-codon position. The record is from RNAcentral. Lineage: Eukaryota; Metazoa; Chordata; Lepidosauria; Squamata; Lacertidae.
AACCUGAGGCAUAGCUCAGUUGGUAGAGGAUGAGACUCUUAAUCUCAGGGUCUGGGGUUUGAUCCCCAUGUUGGGUGA